UAGCCCACAUGCUAGUUCAGGAACCGCUUCAGGCUGGCCAUUCACAACCUAUUCUCAGUCCUUGGAACACACCCAUCUUUGUAAUCAAGAAAAGAAUCUGGCCACUGGAGAUUAGUACAAGAUCUCAAGGCAGUUAAUUGUGUUAAGGAGCCCACAGAAGCCUUAUAAACAGGGCUUCCUUCUACAGCUAUUCCUUUGGGUUAUCAUUUAAUAGUACUAGAUUUAAAAGAUUGUUUCUUUUCUAUACCUUUACACCCAGAGGACUGUAAAAGGUUUGCCUUUAG
Molecule: small RNA, 284 nt
Filed under: Marmota monax (woodchuck)
Lineage: Eukaryota; Metazoa; Chordata; Mammalia; Rodentia; Sciuridae
Source: RNAcentral